CAGCCGCCACGGUAAUACAGAGGGUGCAAGCGUUAAUCGGAAUUACUGGGCGUAAAGCGCGCGUAGGUGGUUCGCCAAGUUGGAUGUGAAAUCCCCGGGCUCAACCUGGGAACUGCAUCCAAAACUGGCGAGCUAGAGUAUGGUAGAGGGUGGUGGAAUUUCCUGUGUAGCGGUGAAAUGCGUAGAUAUAGGAAGGAACAUCAGUGGCGAAGGCGACCACCUGGACUGAUACUGACACUGAGGUGCGAAAGCGUGGGGAGCAAACAGGAUUAGAUACCCCAGUAGUCCCUGUCUCUUAUAC
This 301-nucleotide ribosomal RNA is filed under the name uncultured bacterium. RNAcentral describes it as "partial 16S ribosomal RNA". It matches the Rfam family "Bacterial small subunit ribosomal RNA", at positions 509 to 807 of the family's 1533-position model. The record is from RNAcentral.